RNAcentral lists this ribosomal RNA (500 nucleotides) under uncultured bacterium. RNAcentral's name for it is "partial 16S ribosomal RNA". It matches the Rfam family "Bacterial small subunit ribosomal RNA", at positions 30 to 523 of the family's 1533-position model. The record is from RNAcentral.
AUUGAACGCUGGCGGCAUGCCUUACACAUGCAAGUCGAACGGCAGCACGGGGGCAACCCUGGUGGCGAGUGGCGAACGGGUGAGUAACAUAUCGGAACGUGCCCAGUAGUGGGGGAUAACGAGUCGAAAGAUUCGCUAAUACCGCAUACGACCUGAGGGUGAAAGCGGGGGAUCGCAAGACCUCGCGGUAGUGGAGCGGCCGAUAUCUGAUUAGCUAGUUGGUGGGGUAAAAGCCUGCCAAGGCGACGAUCAGUAACUGGUCUGAGAGGACGAUCAGUCACACUGGAACUGAGACACGGUCCAGACUCCUACGGGAGGCAGCAGUGGGGAAUUUUGGACAAUGGGGGCAACCCUGAUCCAGCAAUGCCGCGUGUGUGAAGAAGGCCUUCGGGUUGUAAAGCACUUUUGUCCGGAAAGUAAUCGCGCUGGUUAAUACCUGGCGUGGAUGACGGUACCGGAAGAAUAAGCACCGGCUAACUACGUGCCAGCCGCCGCAGUAA